UACGUAGGGUGCGAGCGUUGUCCGGAAUUAUUGGGCGUAAAGAGCUUGUAGGCGGUCUGUCGCGUCUGCUGUGAAAAUCCGGGGCUCAACCCCGGACUUGCAGUGGGUACGGGCAGACUAGAGUAUGGUAGGGGAGACUGGAAUUCCUGGUGUAGCGGUGAAAUGCGCAGAUAUCAGGAGGAACACCGAUGGCGAAGGCACGUCUCUGGGCCACUACUGACGCUGAGAAGCGAAAGCAUGGGGAGCGAACAGG
This 253-nucleotide ribosomal RNA is filed under the name uncultured bacterium. RNAcentral describes it as "partial 16S ribosomal RNA". It matches the Rfam family "Bacterial small subunit ribosomal RNA", at positions 524 to 776 of the family's 1533-position model. The record is from RNAcentral.